RNAcentral lists this ribosomal RNA (253 nucleotides) under uncultured bacterium. Its description in RNAcentral is "partial 16S ribosomal RNA". It matches the Rfam family "Bacterial small subunit ribosomal RNA", at positions 524 to 776 of the family's 1533-position model. The record is from RNAcentral.
UACGGGGGGAGCAAGCGUUACUCGGAAUUAUUGGGCGUAAAGGGCGCGUAGGCGAUUUGGUAAGUCUUGUGUGAAAGCCCAUGGCCUAACCAUGGAAGUGCACAAGAAACUACUGAAUUUGAGUUCAGGAGAGGAAGGCAGAAUUCCCGGUGUAGCGGUGAAAUGCGUAGAUAUCGGGAGGAAUACCAGUGGCGAAGGCGGCCUUCUGGACUGACACUGACGCUGAGGCGCGAAAGCUAGGGGAGCAAACGGG